GUACACUCCUACGGGAGGCAGCAGUGGGGAAUAUUGCACAAUGGGCGCAAGCCUGAUGCAGCCAUGCCGCGUGUAUGAAGAAGGCCUUCGGGUUGUAAAGUACUUUCAGCGGGGAGGAAGGCGAUAAGGUUAAUAACCUUGUUGAUUGACGUUACCCGCAGAAGAAGCACCGGCUAACUCCGUGCCAGCAGCCGCGGUAAUACGGAGGGUGCAAGCGUUAAUCGGAAUUACUGGGCGUAAAGCGCACGCAGGCGGUCUGUCAAGUCGGAUGUGAAAUCCCCGGGCUCAACCUGGGAACUGCAUUCGAAACUGGCAGGCUAGAGUCUUGUAGAGGGGGGUAGAAUUCCAGGUGUAGCGGUGAAAUGCGUAGAGAUCUGGAGGAAUACCGGUGGCGAAGACGGCAUACG
Molecule: ribosomal RNA, 407 nt
Filed under: uncultured organism
Description: partial 16S ribosomal RNA
Rfam family: Bacterial small subunit ribosomal RNA
Source: RNAcentral